Molecule: ribosomal RNA, 497 nt
Filed under: uncultured bacterium
Lineage: Bacteria
Description: partial 16S ribosomal RNA
Rfam family: Bacterial small subunit ribosomal RNA
Source: RNAcentral
GAUGAACGCUGGCGGCGUGCCUAAUACAUGCAAGUCGAGCGAACGGACGAGGAGCUUGCUUCUCUGAUGUUAGCGGCGGACGGGUGAGUAACACGUGGAUAACCUACCUAUAAGACUGGGAUAACUUCGGGAAACCGUAGCUAAUACCGGAUAAUAUUUUGAACCGCAUGGUUCAAAAGUGAAAGACGGUCUUGCUGUCACUUAUAGAUGGAUCCGCGCUGCAUUAGCUAGUUGGUAAGGUAACGGCUUACCAAGGCAACGAUGCAUAGCCGACCUGAGAGGGUGAUCGGCCACACUGGAACUGAGACACGGUCCAGACUCCUACGGGAGGCAGCAGUAGGGAAUCUUCCGCAAUGGGCGAAAGCCUGACGGAGCAACGCCGCGUGAGUGAUGAAGGUCUUCGGAUCGUAAAACUGUGUUAUUAGGGAAGAACAUAUGUGUAAGUAACUGUGCACAUCUUGACGGUACCUAAUCAGAAAGCCACGGCUAACUACGUG